CUCCUUCUUCCACUCCAUCCUUCACCCUUCAUUUGUCUCCAGGCAAGGAGACACUGCUUUAUUUCCCAGUCCCAGUUUAUGCCAAACUUUAUGUUCGGGUGUCCAAGCUUUGAUUUUGAUAAAUGAAGAGAAGUCUUAAUAAUGUCUCAACCAAGUCUGGCUUUUAAGACUUUUCUCUCAUUCAAGAUGCAAAAACCAACCAACCAAACACAAAAACCUGACAGUCAGAACUGAGCAGUAAGUUUGUUUUUCUAGCUAGUAUCUGCUCUCCCUCUAAAGCAAUGAAAUAUUGACUCGGAGAAUAAAGAUAUCACUCACUAAGCACACUUUUUUUUUUUUAAUUUUUUUUUAUUUAUUUAUGAUAGGCACACAGUGAGAGAGAGAGAGGCAGAGACACAGGCAGAGGGAGAAGCAGGCUCCAUGCACCGGAAGCCCGACGUGGGAUUCGAUCCCGGGUCUCCAGGAUCGCGCCCUGGGCCAAAGGCAGGCGCCAAACCGCUGUGCCACCCAGGGAUCCCCACUAAGCACACUUUUAAGAGAAAUUUAGAAAGUGACUACCUCUUCCCAUCCCGGUGGAAGACUUGGGGGUUUGCUCUGGGAAGAAGCUCCAUCAAGUGGCUCCGGACAAAGGAUAUCAGGAAGCCAUGGGGAGGGAUACACCCUAAUGAUCAAAGUCUACAUAUGAAAGAUUUCAUUACCUCCUUUCUGUUUCCUUAG
RNAcentral lists this long non-coding RNA (717 nucleotides) under Canis lupus familiaris (dog). Its description in RNAcentral is "lncRNA (ENSCAFG00845003063.1)". The record is from RNAcentral. Lineage: Eukaryota; Metazoa; Chordata; Mammalia; Carnivora; Canidae.